GUGAUGGCGCAAACAAUCACGAAGACGGAAGAAUAAUUCAGUUUAUUACAAAAGACUGAAGAUAUAACUACCGCCAUCCUUUAAUUUAUUUAUUUCUACGUUGAGGACACUUUAUAAUCCUACAGAGAUACCUGACUAACGAACAACCUUCACAACGGGACGGAGCUAAUUAACGUUAAUGUUACUUUGAAAUUCAAACAGUAACGGUCAUCUGACUACUGGUGCUGAGCCAAAGGUAAGCAUAAAUGUGCUUUUAUUCGUCGUUUUAUUAAUCUAAUGUUAAAUUUCAAUUCAGAUUAAUAUUUAAAAUUAUUUAUUUGGAUUAGAAAGAUUAUAUAUUUUCAAAUUCCUCUUUUUAUAAUUGGACAUUAUCCCUGUUGGUUUAUUUUAGGUGGUUCAAUUUACAGUCUGAGGACGGGAACAUCAACAAAAAAAGUUUAACUUCUGAUUCAUAAUCUACACACUCUACUGGUAACGUUAACACUACUGACACCUAGUGGGCAGUUGGUGAAGACAGAUGUUGUGACGAUAGGACAGUUCCUCCUCACCAGUCUCUGCUGUAUAUGGAUGCCUGUCCACUAGCACAAGACAUUUACAACAUUUUGGAGCCAGGGACCCCUUGCAGAUAAGAUUUUUCAAGGACACCCUCAGAAUUACAAGAUUUUAAGGUUUAAAAUUAUUGUGGGUUGGAAUAUAAUGAACAUAAUAUGAUUUUUUUAUUUAUUCAUUUAGUUUUUUUAAAUGAUCCCCAAU
This is a long non-coding RNA of Carassius auratus (goldfish), 753 nucleotides long. RefSeq lists it as uncharacterized. The record is from RefSeq and is a predicted model, not a curated record. The transcript is spliced from 3 exons. Lineage: Eukaryota; Metazoa; Chordata; Actinopteri; Cypriniformes; Cyprinidae.